This is a non-coding RNA of Vicia faba (fava bean), 192 nucleotides long. NCBI's taxonomy places the organism in Eukaryota, Viridiplantae, Streptophyta, Magnoliopsida, Fabales, Fabaceae. The record is from the annotation of a GenBank genome assembly.
AUGAAACCGAAUGGACGACGAAGAUGGUUUUUUGAUUCAAGGAAGCGGAAAGAAUAUGGCAAAACAAAUACGGUGAGGAGCUUGGCCGUGUCGAUCGGAGACAGUGGUAGUCACCGGCGCCGCGAUUUGUUUGGAAGAAGAAGUGAAUCCACCUUCAUAAUGAAGCUCAAUAGCCACCUUCUAGAACCCUAA